GUUUUGGCAGACGAUGGGCUUUUCUGCCAACGGCAAGCAGGUUCUCUUCCCCGAAGAGGCUCUCUACCUGAUGGAGUGUGGAAACGUGCAGGUGUUUUACGAGGAGCUGCCGAUGUCCAUCCAGGACGGGUACGAGAAGUUUCUGUCGUCGAGCGCAGUGAGCCUCCAGCAAUAUCAGGUGUUUGGGCAUUUGAAGAGGCUCGGCUAUGUGGUGCACAGGUU
Molecule: long non-coding RNA, 222 nt
Organism: Cottoperca gobio
Lineage: Eukaryota; Metazoa; Chordata; Actinopteri; Perciformes; Bovichtidae
Exons: 3
Source: RefSeq, a predicted model, not a curated record